Long non-coding RNA from Cimex lectularius (bed bug), 2444 nucleotides. RefSeq lists it as uncharacterized. NCBI's taxonomy places the organism in Eukaryota, Metazoa, Arthropoda, Insecta, Hemiptera, Cimicidae. The transcript is spliced from 3 exons. The record is from RefSeq and is a predicted model, not a curated record.
UAUUUUUUUAAUAUACAGGGUGGUCCAGCACAAAUCUGAAAAGAAUAGUAAUAAUAGUAAAUAAUAAAAAUAGUACAUCCUGAAUAGAACUACCUCAGUCCAGUUGGAAGUUAUGAACUUUACAUCUUUUUUUGAAAAAUCCCGACCUUAAGCCAUAAAUAGUUUUUUUUUUUCACGAUCUAUAGCAUCUGUUCCACUUUUGAACCACAUUUUUGAAUUCUGCAUUAAAUUUCAUAUAAGAAGGAGCUAUUUUUAAUCUUAUCAAACGCCAAUGUUCUUUACUAAUUCAACCCUAUAUGAAAAAUUUUCAAAAAAGGAGAAACUUUUGAUCAAUUUCCAAAAAUGUUGUUAAAUUUUUCAACAAACAUAUUUGUAGGGGUGCGAAACAUAAAAACUUCUUCAAUUAAUAAGCUUUCUUAUGGUGUACUCGAAGUUCCAAAAAUGUCAAGCCUUCAAUGGUAAAAUCAACCUGGAAUGUUAAAAAACCUGGUUCAAACAUGGUUGGGGUAAUAAUGCCAUUUCCUUCCGUGCUGCCCAAUACAAAAUAGGAGAGGAUUGAACAUGUCUCGAACUCCAGCAGUGUUAACCUUGAAUUUACAAGAGAGAUAGAUUGGUAUAAACCGCCGCAUCUCAAUCUGCUAGACUUUUUUUUGUUUGUGGCCCCCUGAAGGAAAUUGGGUAGAAAACACCAGUAAAUACUGCAGAUGAAUUAUGGACAAGAAUUGAAGACGUAGCCCGAUUUCUCAAGUUCAAAUCAACUACAAAAGUUACUUUGGACAACUGAGAAAAUUAUGCAGAGUGCCCAUUAGGCACCACGUAAGGCAUUUUGAACGUUUGUUGUGCUCUUCUUUUUUUUUAAGUAUUUUAUUUCAUAAUAAAGGGACUCGACUUAAUAAUGUUACAUAAUUCAUUUCUUUUUUAAAUCCCACUUCAGCAACAGUGCUGUUUAAAAAUUUUGAAAUAGUACAGUACACUCCUCUUCUGUAUGCGCUAAAUUUUCACAUUUGAAUCAUGUUUUUUGGAUUUCGAGUACACCAUAAGAAAGUUUAUUAAAUGAAGAAGUUUUUAUGUUUGUUGAAAAAUUAAAAAAAAAAAAAUUGGAAAUUAUCAAGUUUCUCCUUUUUUAAAAUUCUUCAUAUUGGGUUGAAUUAAUAAAGAAAAUUGGCGUUUGAUGAGAUUAAAAAUAGCUCCUUCUUAUAUGAAAUGUAAUGCAGAAUUCAAAAUUGUAGUUCAAAAUUUGAACAGAUGCUAGAUCUUGAAAAAAUUAGAAUUUAUGGCUUAAGGUCGGGAUUUAAAAAAAAAAUUAAUUAAAAAAAUAAAUAAAAAAAGUCGUAACUUCUGAUCGGAUUGAGAUAGGACAGUUCGGUUGGUUGCAUUUUACUCUAUUUAGGAUGUACUUACUACAACCCAAUGUUUUUGGGUUUGUGCUGGACCACCCUGUAUAUAAAAUACAAAAGUACCCUUCUUAACCAAACAAAACGGGGAUGGAGGCAUUUUGCAUAAUUUUCAGAUAAAUCAUGGAUAGUGUUGGCAUGAGUAAAAAAUGCACAAAAAAUAUAAUUCCAAUUAAAACUAAACGAUCUAUGCAUUUUACGUGCAAAUAUGAAGUACAGUAUACAAUGUAGUCCAAGGCUUUCCAAACUUUUUAGCCUGCAGACCACUUUCGCAGAACAAAAUCCAGGGCGGACCCAUCUCAUUCCAGUAUUUAAAAUUAGAUAGUUACUUGUAGUAUAUAGUAUAUAUAGUAAACAUUGAUUUUCAUCAAGCAUGCAAGAUACAAUACCGUUAACACACAGUUUUAUUAGGGUUUCAGCGAUAUGAGCUUUACCUGCCUGUGCCACUUGAUUACAUAUCAAGUAAAACGUUUUCAUAGAGUUUUUAUUGACAGGUUUUGCAUGAGUUUUAAUGAAGGUUUGAGAAGUGGCCAGUUCAGUGUGCUUCCUCAUGAAAAAAUCAGCCUGUUUCUCCCUCAGUUCUGGGAGUGUAACCUCAAAAUCAGGACACAAUUUAAUUGGAACCAUUGAACAAUUUGGAAGGACUUUCGCGCUGAGAUUUACCCUCAUCAGCCUUCAAAAAUCACAAAUCUAAUUGGCUGUCGUAGUACUAAUACUUCUUAGAUAUUACACUUCCCCUGGCUGUUUGACCUAUUCGGAGACUUGUAAAAUUUGACCGGCUGGAUUCUGCUGAGGUGCUUCAUCUGAAGGCUGUUCUUCAUUUGGAUUGUCAGGAAUGUUCUCAUUGGAAGGUUGUCCUUCCACCUUAUAAAUUACAAUUCGGAGCUUUCCUGGCUGUGAAUGCGAAGGAGAAACUGUAUACUUCCUCAGAGAUCCUGACUUCAACCACCGAUCCAUAUUCCAUACUGGAGUGAGAAUGGCACAAGUACACUCAAGAGAGAAAUUUGAGGUUUUUAGUUGGCACGAGCCAAAGUCAAUGGCACGAGCGGG